This 411-nucleotide ribosomal RNA is filed under the name Bacillus cereus. RNAcentral's name for it is "bacterial SSU rRNA". It matches the Rfam family "Bacterial small subunit ribosomal RNA", at positions 1122 to 1533 of the family's 1533-position model. RNAcentral also lists the same sequence under 1 other name. The record is from RNAcentral. Lineage: Bacteria; Bacillati; Bacillota; Bacilli; Caryophanales; Bacillaceae.
CAUUAAGUUGGGCACUCUAAGGUGACUGCCGGUGACAAACCGGAGGAAGGUGGGGAUGACGUCAAAUCAUCAUGCCCCUUAUGACCUGGGCUACACACGUGCUACAAUGGACGGUACAAAGAGCUGCAAGACCGCGAGGUGGAGCUAAUCUCAUAAAACCGUUCUCAGUUCGGAUUGUAGGCUGCAACUCGCCUACAUGAAGCUGGAAUCGCUAGUAAUCGCGGAUCAGCAUGCCGCGGUGAAUACGUUCCCGGGCCUUGUACACACCGCCCGUCACACCACGAGAGUUUGUAACACCCGAAGUCGGUGGGGUAACCUUUAUGGAGCCAGCCGCCUAAGGUGGGACAGAUGAUUGGGGUGAAGUCGUAACAAGGUAGCCGUAUCGGAAGGUGCGGCUGGAUCACCUCCUUU